This 483-nucleotide ribosomal RNA is filed under the name uncultured bacterium. Its description in RNAcentral is "SSU rRNA". It matches the Rfam family "Bacterial small subunit ribosomal RNA", at positions 26 to 518 of the family's 1533-position model. The record is from RNAcentral.
AGGACGAACGCUGGCGGCGUGCUUAACACAUGCAAGUCGUACGAUGAUGCCGCAACUUGUUGUGGUGGAUUAGUGGCGAACGGGUGAGUAACACGUGAGUAACCUGCCUUUCACUCUGGGAUAAGCCUUGGAAACGAGGUCUAAUACUGGAUAUGACUCCUUGCCGCAUGGUGGGGGGUGGAAAGCCUUCGGGUGGUGGAUGAUGGACUCGCGGACUAUCAGCUUGUUGGUGGGGUUGUGGCCUACCAAGGCUUUGACGGUUAGCCGGCCUGAGAGGGUGAUCGGCCACAUUGGGACUGAGAUACGGCCCAGACUCCUGCGGGAGGCAGCAGUGGGGAAUAUUGCACAAUGGGCGAAAGCCUGAUGCAGCGACGCCGCGUGGGGAUGAAGGCCUUCGGGUUGUAAACUCCUUCGCUCGUGACGAAGCCUUUCGGGUGACGGUAGCGGGAGAGAAGCACCGGCUAACUACGUGCCAGCAGCCGC